RNAcentral lists this ribosomal RNA (256 nucleotides) under uncultured bacterium. RNAcentral's name for it is "partial 16S ribosomal RNA". It matches the Rfam family "Bacterial small subunit ribosomal RNA", at positions 524 to 778 of the family's 1533-position model. The record is from RNAcentral.
UACGAAGGGGGCUAGCGUUGCUCGGAAUCACUGGGCGUAAAGGGUGCGUAGGCGGGUCUUUAAGUCAGGGGUGAAAUCCUGGAGCUCAACUCCAGAACUGCCUUUGAUACUGAGGAUCUUGAGUUCGGGAGAGGUGAGUGGAACUGCGAGUGUAGAGGUGAAAUUCGUAGAUAUUCGCAAGAACACCAGUGGCGAAGGCGGCUCACUGGCCCCGAUACUGACGCUGAGGCACGAAAGCGUGGGGAGCAAACAAGGG